Molecule: ribosomal RNA, 396 nt
Filed under: uncultured bacterium
Lineage: Bacteria
Description: partial 16S ribosomal RNA
Rfam family: Bacterial small subunit ribosomal RNA
Source: RNAcentral
AUACGUAGGGGGCAAGCGUUGUCCGGAAUUAUUGGGCGUAAAGGGUGCGUAGGCGGCCGAUCAAGUCAGGUGUGAAAGACCCGUGCUUAACAUGGGGGUUGCACUUGAAACUGGUUGGCUUGAGUAUGGGAGAGGCAAGCGGAAUUCCCGGUGUAGCGGUGAAAUGCGUAGAGAUCGGGAGGAACACCAGUGGCGAAGGCGGCUUGCUGGACCAAAACUGACGCUGAGGCACGAAAGCGUGGGUAGCAAACAGGAUUAGAUACCCUGGUAGUCCACGCCGUAAACGAUGGAUACUAGGUGUAGGGGGUUUAACACCUUCUGUGCCGGAGCAAACGCAAUAAGUAUCCCGCCUGGGGAGUACGAUCGCAAGAUUGAAACUCAAAGGAAUUGACGGGG